GUGUUCUAUUAAUGUAAAGAACCAAAGUUUUCUCUCUUUAAAAAAAAAUAGAAAUAUUAUAAUUUUUAUAGUCUUAUGAAUAUUAAAAGAAUUAAGAAUUGUGUAUAAAAAUGCGCCCUUUUAAGUUCAAUUAAUAAUUCUGAAAUCAUUAUACUGUUCAGCAAAUACCAAGAUAGCCGAUGAGGCCCCUUGAGUACACCUUAUCUAAGUCCGGUGACAGCAUAGUUGACACUAUCUGUCACUAAAAUGACAUAGUGACACGUGCAACGUAUCUUUUCUUCAUUCCAAUCUUCUAAAUAGGUUAUUAUCCCUCAUCUUUCCAUACAAUCAAAUUUCCUUGAUGUUAAAAUUAAAUCGGACGACCCUUUUCUUUUUAUCUGCAGACGUUUUAUCGAAGAGCUUUUUUUUUUCAAUAAUAAAGAUAAAAUCGCGUAAACUCUUCUUACUCGUUAAAUUUUGUGAUUUAUUUAGCAGAAAAAUACGGAUAAAUUUAUAUAUUAAUUUUAUAAAUUUUCAAAAAUUUCGGCAGCGCAUAUUUAUAACCCCGACUAUGAGAACACGAAAACCACUCAACACUCCAAGAUUUUUCGAUGUAUAACAUGGUUAAACAGUCUGAAGUGCAAUUUAUUUAAAUAAAUUAUUCUUGCAGUAUGUUAAUUAUGUUUGCUUAAAGCCUGAUUUAAGAAUUUUACAUAAAAGUUUCCGAUGAAACGUUACCAGAUGCAUCCGAGUAGAGAAAGAGAGAGAACCUCAUGUAGGUCUUUUUAUAAUAAAUUUGCAAACAUCUAAACAAGGAUAUCACGUUUAUAUCUUAAAAAUGGCAUUCCUUACAGUGAAAUUUUUUAAUAUUUUUAUCAUUUUCUAAGUUUAAACUCUUGUUUUCUACGUUAUUUUAAAUACGAAUCGCAUAAAAAUCUCUACUAUAUUUAGACUCAAAUAUAAAACUGGAACAUGUCUAAAAGCGGAAUUUUAGUAUUU
This 978-nucleotide long non-coding RNA is filed under the name Androctonus crassicauda. Lineage: Eukaryota; Metazoa; Arthropoda; Arachnida; Scorpiones; Buthidae. The record is from RNAcentral.